Molecule: long non-coding RNA, 467 nt
Organism: Herpailurus yagouaroundi (jaguarundi)
Lineage: Eukaryota; Metazoa; Chordata; Mammalia; Carnivora; Felidae
Exons: 4
Source: RefSeq, a predicted model, not a curated record
CAGACCGCAGAAGAGAGCUACAGGGAUGGUAGCACGAGGAAGCCUUGCGUGGACGUUGCUGGCUCUGAAGGUGGAGGAAGAGGACCUCUGAAAGUUGGAAAAGCUCUCCUAUUCCUUGCCAUCAGCAUCUGGGUCAAUGAUGAGCAGAAGUAAGGGGUAAAGGAAAUCUCUCUGUGGACACUGAGGAUGAAGAUGAUGACAAGGUCCUAGAGGAUGGGAAACUACGAGGUGGAAAAGCCUAGUCCCCAAAGUGCCACUUGGAGAAAAGCUAACAGCUGAUGAAGAAUACCUGCUUUAUAUAUUUUCAUCUCCAAGGCCAUGGAACUAAAGAGCAGUUAUUGCGGGGACAAAAUUUUCCAAGAGAAGACUCCAAGAGAGAGCAAGAAGAAAAAUCUUACAUAUGGAGGUAAGUUAAUGAUGCUUAAGAGAAAGAAAUAAAUUCAAGUUCUUUUUAAAGAACUUGGUAU